Molecule: long non-coding RNA, 329 nt
Filed under: Sarcophilus harrisii (Tasmanian devil)
Lineage: Eukaryota; Metazoa; Chordata; Mammalia; Dasyuromorphia; Dasyuridae
Description: lncRNA (ENSSHAG00000021749.1)
Source: RNAcentral
CGAUAGCAGAGGCUAGCUAGGAUGUCCAAGCUGAGCCUACAGAGGAAGGGUGGGAAGGAAAGGGGUUAGUGAGUGACCCUGGCAUUGGAGUUUUCCUUUGCCUCUUCCGGACCAAGAGCCCACGGGAGAGGCUAAUUCAGAAGAGGACUUCUGAAAAAGAAGUGGCUUAAAUCUUGAAAGGUAGUCUUCUAAUCAACUGUUACCUAAGGAUGAACCCAUUUAUGGACUCUCGGGUCUGAAAAGAAAAUAACAUUGUCUAGAUGGGAACUGCAUAGAGUCUUCAGCUGUCAAGAUCUGGUAGUUUCAUGGAAGUAUUCUCUUGCUGGAAG